GGAUUGUAGUCUGCAACCCGACUACAUGAAGCUGGAAUCGCUAGUAAUCGCGGAUCAGAAUGCCGCGGUGAAUACGUUCCCGGGUCUUGUACACACCGCCCGUCACACCAUGGGAGUCGGAAAUGCCCGAAGUCUGUGACCUAACCGCAAGGGAGGAGCAGCCGAAGGCAGGUCGGAUGACUGGGGUGAAGUCGUAACAAGGUAUC
RNAcentral lists this ribosomal RNA (206 nucleotides) under uncultured bacterium. Its description in RNAcentral is "partial 16S ribosomal RNA". It matches the Rfam family "Bacterial small subunit ribosomal RNA", at positions 1295 to 1500 of the family's 1533-position model. The record is from RNAcentral.